This 5208-nucleotide long non-coding RNA is filed under the name Ornithorhynchus anatinus (platypus). RNAcentral's name for it is "lncRNA (ENSOANG00000048344.1)". Lineage: Eukaryota; Metazoa; Chordata; Mammalia; Monotremata; Ornithorhynchidae. The record is from RNAcentral.
AUGGAGAGGGGCCGCGGGGCCGCGCUCGCGCGCUCCCGGCGGGGGGAAAGGGGGGGGGGGGCGCGCCUGGGAUGCUUGCCCCGGCCCCGCGCUUACCGUGUCCGCCCCGGGGAGCUCGGCCGUCCGGAGGAGAAGAAAAAGAAGAGGAGGAGGAGGAGGAGAGCAAGGCAGGUAGGAGCCGGGAGUCCCCGCCCGGGGGGCCGGCCGGAGGCGGGGCUGCGGGACAGGACGGGGCGGGGCUCCCUCCUCUUCCCUCCCUUUUUUUUUUUUUUUUUUCCCCCCCCUCCCCGCCCCCCCGCAGCCGGGCUGGGGAUGGAGAUGGGAAAGGGAAGACCCUCCCUCCGUCCGCCCCGCCGCCUUUUCCCACGCUCCGCUCCCGGCCGGUCCUGCCCCGCCCCGCCCCGCAUCUCCGGCGCAUGCGCGGACCCGCCCGCCCCGCUCAUCCCCCCUCCCCGGCCCCGGCCCCCCCCCCCCCAAUCGCCCUGGCGGCGCUGGGAGGGGGGAGGGGGAGGCGCUCAACGCCCUGAAACUCACCCUGUGCUAAGCACUGCGCCCCGGCGCACCCCCCCGGAGGACCGGAGGGAGCCGGCCCGGCGCCCCCUGGAGGACGGCAGGGGCAAGGCAGGCCACAGGCGCCCCAGCGCCCCCCGGAGGACGGUCGGAGGCGGGACGCGGCCCAGCGCCCCCUGGAGGACAACAGGGGAAAGAUGUCCGAGGAGUGCCUGCCUGCCUGCUGAACAAGAAAUCACUUCCUGCACCGCCAGCGAGUUGCUGAGGUUCUCUGAAAAGGAAGACCUGCAUUUGUUUAUGUGCAGGUAGGUGGUGGGAGUACAGUGACAUCUCUGAAGGCUCCCAGCAGGUCAAUGGCAAAAGGUGGCACAGAAGCGAGGGUGGCUGGGGGAGGCAGAAAAGUCUGGUCCUACUUUGGCCAGGCUGGGCCUGGCUGAUCCUGUCAAAGUGACUGUGUGCAUCCGGGAAAAGUGAAUGCCACCCUUUAAGACAAACAACACUCCCAUUCCAUCCUAGUGGUUUUAAUCACGUUGCCCUGCAAUUCCGACGCUUCAGCACCUUUGAGAGAAAAUGGUAAACUGAUGUCGGAUUAGUAUCUGAUCUUUCGUCUCAGAAUGCUCUGGCAAUUGUCAGCAAAACUGGUAACUUGAAAUAUUGCUUAAACUUACCCACCAGUGUGAGUUAUAUUUGCAUUUCACUCUCUAUCAUUCCAAAUGCAUAGCCCACAGAGGAUAAUGCCUUGUUCUGUUAUAUUGUUCUAAUUUUUUAGGCUGUGCUUCACAUUAAGUAUCUCAUUUUAUCCUCACAACAUCCCUCUGUGAGGUAGAGAGAGACUGUUGUAAUUAUCCUCAUUUUGCAGAUGAGGACACUUUGCCAUUACUUCGAAAUGUUAGCAAGCAUCUUUUAUCUGCAGUUGGUUGCAUUAUCUGGAAGAGCGUGUAUGCCAAUGUAUAAUAUAUAUAAUGUGUCAUGUAUAUAAUAUAGAUAUAUAUUAACUAUAUAAACUACGGCCCUCCAUUGCUUUACAAGUUACUAUGAAUCAAGUUUACCCUCAGAUGUGAAUGGGACCCAAAAAAACAGCAUGAAACUCGCAAUCCCGCUCCAAGGAGAGUGACACCCCAGGAGACAGCUGGGAGAUAAACCCCUAGAGCAAUGCUGCCAGGGACAAGGACAUUAAGUCUUAGUGCAAGUCCUCAUUGCCUGAGGCUUAAAUACAAAUCUGUCAGGAGGAGCAGACAUAGUGGAAAGGGCCAGAAAGGCUGGUGUUCAGAGGCGGUCAAUGCAGUAGGUUGGCUUAAGAAGCCCCGUCCCCCACCCCAACAUAUUCAGUCCCAUCAGCCCUCACCCAAAGUGGACAUCCAGCAGCUCCCCAGUUAGGUGGCAGGAAUAAUAAUAAUAAUAAUGUUGGUAUUUGUUAAGCGCUUACUAUGUGCCGAGCACUGUUCUAAGCGCUGGGGUAAUCAGGUUGUCCCACAUGAGGCUCACAGUUAAUCCCCAUUUUACAGAUGAGGUAACUGAGGCACAGAGGAGUUAAGUGACUUGCCCACAGUUACACAGCUGACGAGUGGCAGAGCCGGGAUUCAAACUCAUGACCUCUGACUCCCCAGCCCGUGCUCUUUCCACUGAGCCACGCUGCUUCUCUAAACUUAGGAAUGGGCAUCCAGGAAUGGAAUGGCCAUCCAGGAAAGGAAUGGCCAUCCCUUGGAACAGAGUUGCAGCUUCUGCUGAAGAGCCCCAGGCAAGCUAAGCAAACUCAGCACCUUCCUCCUCCAUGGAUAGGACAGUCCUUGCUUAAGUGGUCAGUGUUUCUACAGCCUCCCGGCUGUUGCUGUCAAUAUUCUGGGGCUUCCUGAGGUGCUACUUCUUAGAGUAUAUGGGAUACAUUCAAUUUAGAUGUUUCCCAAAAUAGCGUUAGCUGUGACCGAGAGAAUACACGUGCAUACUUUCAAGACCCUGGGCAAGGACAUGAUCAAACUCAGUGUUGUACAGGAUUUUGCCUAUAUUUGAUGUUCAGGGAAUGUUUAAUAAUGAUAAUAACAGUGGUAGUAAAAUAGAACCCUUGUUGAUUAGGUUUUUUUCUCCUGAAUUAUUUUAAAUCCUUACCUGUAUGUUAGUGCUGAUGAUUGGCAUAUAUGUCUAUCUAUCUAUCUAUCUAUCUAUCUAUCUAUCUAUCUAUCUAUCUAUCUAUCUAUCUAUCGCUAUCUAUCUAUAUAAUAUUUAUAUAAAUAUAUCUCUUUAUAUAAGAUAUAAUAUCCAUGUCUUUCCUCUUGCUCCCUCUAUCUGUCUGCAGUUUUUGUCUGUCUCCCUCCAUUUCACUGAAGCUCUUUGAGAACUGGGAACAUGUGUCUUGUUUCUGUUGAAUUCUCCUAAGUCCUUAAUAUAGUGCUAUGCAUACAUUGAAUGCCACUGAUUGUAAGGCCCAUUUCUAAAAUGUUCUGUGGCUACAAGUCUGCAGUGCAAGGAACAUUACAUUUCAGUUUAUUUGCAACAUACAGCAUUUCUUCCGUUUUCCACCCCUUCCACCUGGAAAAAAGCAAUCCAAUAAAAAGCCUUGAGCGUUUUUCCUUGCACUUCCCGCACCCCACCCUGUAUACCAGUAUGGCCUGCCAUCCUCUCUUGGGUUGAUCUGGUCAUACACAAUUUAACAUGGCAGAAAAGGGAGUGUAUAGUAGAAAAAAAGUGCAGAAAACCUGUUAACCCUGGAGGCGAAACCCCAGUUUCAGUCCUUAUGCUUUGGGGUAGUGAGGAAACAGCUGGGAGGGUCAGUGAAGUUUGUCUUUACAGGAACUGCCUUCACUGGAACCGAAUUUAUGACCGACUUCCUUGGGUGGGACCAGUGUUGGGUGGGGGGAAGGUCGGGGAGAGACAGAAAGAGAGAGAAAGAGAUACAGGAAGGGGACAGAGUGUGGCAGCAAUGAGAAUCAGCUCUUGCUUUUCUUGCCGGUUCUGCUGCUGCGCUCUUGGCCACGUGGUCAAAAGCGAGACUUGUGUGGGGCCUCAAGUCCCUCUUUUAGAGGUUGGGGAUGCGGGGGGACGGAGGGACACAUUCCUGUUGGGUCUUGCCCAGAGUGGGCAGAGUUGUGUUAGUGGGAGUUGAAUGGAAAUUACCAUAGGGUCUUUAUCAGCUUUCCAUUUAGCAAAUGGUCCUUAUCUUGAAGGGUAAGGACCCUGCCAGGCCAGGGUCUGCUUUCCUAUUGUCCUUCCUCAUUCAGAGAGACUCUGGAAUUACUGGGCCCCAAGAUCAUUACACAGCUUCAGAAGUGGUAUGUAGGAAAGAUAUGAAAGGCAGAGGAUGCUGUGAAUGUGAAGCCCAGGGAGACAUAAGAGAAAAAGGAAAAAAAAGCCUCAGUAGGUCUUCCUGCCUCAAACAGAACUCCGAGUACAGGAGAGACCCAAAAUGUAACUGGACGUUUUUUACAACCUCUACCUCGUAUUCAGUUCCCUGGCGGGCUUGCAGAAAACCAGAGAGAGGUUUGUAUUGUUGUAGGUUGUAUUUUGCAGGAAAAAGCCUGGGAGAUUGAAAGAGAAAGCAAAAUCCUACAUUUUUCUGCAUAUCGACAGGGAGGCAGCACAGGAGGAAAGACAAGAAUCUUUUUUAAAUCAGAAGAAGGAAAACAUGAAAUGAGAGGAAAUACUGACCAACUUGAGGACUAAUUUUACACCGGAAAAGAGGCAACCAUUUGAAAGGUUUGGGGAGUUGCAGGGUGGGGGUAAGGGGGAACCACUGUGUCACAGACCUAAAGACACUGAGUCAGAGCUGUGCUUUGGGGAAUUUCAGAGAUUCUCUGACAAGGGACAGGGUUUCUGUAAUAUGAAGAUGUUGGAGGAAAGGGAACGUUCCCCGAGAUAAAACUUCCCUGAUCAGCGGAAUAGCUGAAAUGUCAAUGCCAGUGAGUUCCAUCCACCUGACAAGACUGACCAUACCCUAAUCAGAAGAAAAUACAGCCUGAAAAAACUCAAAGUACAGACAGAAACCCCUUUCCCACACUCACAGCAGAGGAUCACCUGGUACAAAUGCAGCCACCCACAGCUUGUAGGUGGGCAUGCAGGAAGAGUGGCCUGUAGCCAGGACUUAAACCAGGUCCUGCAAUUAGGAAAUUGUGCCACAAUGUUUCAAGAAGAACCAUUUUGCAAGAUGCUCCUUAGUGCAACCACUAAAACCUCUCAGGCUAACUGUUGAACGGUCACUAAAGAAUGGAUGUGCAUUUAUCUAUGGUUCUCUUUAUCUAUUUUGAUGGUAGUGAUGUUUUGUUUUGUUGUUGUCUGUCUCCCCCUUCUAGGCAAUGACCCCGUUGGUGGGUAGGGAUUGUCUCUUAUCUGUUACCCAAUUGUACUUUCCAAGCUCUGAGUACAGUGCUGUGCACACAGUAAGCACUCAGUAAAUACAAUUGAAUGAGUGAAUCUCAUGUACAUGAGGGAAAACCCCAAGGUAGUAAUGAGAUACCAUGACCCCUACCAGUGGAAAUUCACAGAAUAGGGGUUUCUUUUCAACUGGACCUUGAAGCUCAGGUUGAUAUUUUACUAGAAUAGGAUAGUAAAGGAUGGAAAUAAAGUGAAAAACUGGGUCUAACAGCUAACCCCCUCCUCAUGCCCUUUUAAAAUGCCAUCUUCUCCAGGAAGCCUUCCCCAUCUAAUCCACACCUCCCUGGUCAGCUCAUCCCAUCCCAUCACCCUUAGCCCCUAUGAACUGUAUAAACC